UUGAUUCUCCUGCUGGCGCAAAAUAAAGCUUUGCUUGACCUUUGCUUUCUAUUAGUCUCGCUCCUUUGAUCACGGACCCCAUCAGCGAAAUGCCAUGAGGCAGGGAAAAACUGCCCCGGGCACAGAAAGACAGGAGUUCGUCCUCCUGUCCCAUCACCAGGUGUGAAACCGAUCGUCCCGCGGCUUCAGAAGCCGGCAGGAAACCUCUCCUUCCUCCCCGCUCGCAACCUUACAAAAUCUGGUGUCCCCCGCCUCCCUCCGUCAAAGGCGCGGGACUGGGAAGAGGCGUCCCUCCCGGAUCGCAGAACGCAAACUCAGCCCCGCGCCUGGCGCUUCUCGACCUGAGCCGCGCCCGCCGCUGAGGGCACCGCCGGCUCCCCAGCCAGGCCAGCGGGAGACCAAGCGGAAAGUCAGGCGGGAGGCCCAGCCCCAGUCGCCUCUCGGGUAGGGGUGUCGGCUCAGGGACCAGGACUCUGCAGGGACCGGGACUCUGGAGGGACCGGCUACGCCCCAGACGCCACCAGGAGCCAAGGGCCGAGGGAGGAGCAGCGGAGAACCGGGGGCAACGAGUACCUGGCUGUCGAACUGAGAACAACUCUGGGAAUUCGCAGAGCGGGACGAGAACACUUCCGGGAAUGGCGCCGGCGUAGCCGGGCCGGCCUCCAGGCAAGCUAGUGCGCCUGCGCAGCAGGGCUUCCGAACUACAGCGCCCAGAAUCCUCAGCGUGGAGCGUUUUUGUUUGUUUUUCUGCCCCCCAUUUUUCUUUUGUUUUUUUUCUUCUACUCUUUUGUCUGCGUUUAAGAGGGAAUUGGAUGUGUUUAUCGACAGUUUGGGUGACCUAAAAAAUCUAUUCAAAUUGAAUAAACUUGUAUUGAGAAGCUAUAACCAUGUGUCAAGCAGUAGCACGAGCGAGGCAAAAAAAUGACACCACCUCUUGACUCUGAACGUUUCAGGGUGACUAAAGAAAUAAAGUCAAUGAUAGAAGAUACAGGCCUUUUGCAAAUUAGCUAAAAUUUCGGAUACCAGUAGAGUUGAUCCAAGAAGCUCAGUGAAAUUCAAAGAAAGCACAUGAAGAAAAUCACACCAAGGCACGGCAUAAGCAAAUUGCUACAAACCAGUAAUAAAGGAAAAUCUUAGAAAAACAAAGAGAUCACAAUGAGGCAGAGAGGCAGACAGAGAGGAACGGAAGCAGG
This is a long non-coding RNA of Lutra lutra (Eurasian river otter), 1193 nucleotides long. RefSeq lists it as uncharacterized. The record is from RefSeq and is a predicted model, not a curated record. The transcript is spliced from 3 exons. Lineage: Eukaryota; Metazoa; Chordata; Mammalia; Carnivora; Mustelidae.